RNAcentral lists this ribosomal RNA (498 nucleotides) under uncultured bacterium. RNAcentral's name for it is "partial 16S ribosomal RNA". It matches the Rfam family "Bacterial small subunit ribosomal RNA", at positions 30 to 523 of the family's 1533-position model. The record is from RNAcentral.
AUUGAACGCUGGCGGCAUGCCUUACACAUGCAAGUCGAACGGUAACGGGCCUUCGGGUGCCGACGAGUGGCGAACGGGUGAGUAAUGUAUCGGAACGUACCAUUGAGUGGGGGAUAACGUAGCGAAAGUUACGCUAAUACCGCAUAUUCUCUCCGGAGGAAAGCAGGGGACCGCAAGGCCUUGCGCUCUUUGAGCGGCCGAUAUCAGAUUAGCUAGUUGGUGGGGUAAAAGCCUACCAAGGCGACGAUCUGUAGCGGGUCUGAGAGGAUGAUCCGCCACACUGGAACUGAGACACGGUCCAGACUCCUACGGGAGGCAGCAGUGGGGAAUUUUGGACAAUGGGGGCAACCCUGAUCCAGCCAUGUCGCGUGAGUGAAGAAGGCCUUCGGGUUGUAAAGCUCUUUCAGCCGGGAAGAAAACGCACAGGUUAAUACCCUGUGUGAAUGACGGUACCGGAAUAAGAAGCACCGGCUAACUACGUGCCAGCAGCCGCGGUAA